CGCGGCCUAUCAGCUUGUUGGUGAGGUAACGGCUCACCAAGGCAUCGACGGGUAGCUGGUCUGAGAGGACGAUCAGCCACACUGGGACUGAGACACGGCCCAGACUCCUACGGGAGGCAGCAGUAGGGAAUCUUGCGCAAUGGGCGAAAGCCUGACGCAGCAACGCCGCGUGGGGGAUGAAUGCCUUCGGGUUGUAAACCCCUUUCAGCAGGGACGAAAAUGACGGUACCUGCAGAAGAAGCUCCGGCCAACUACGUGCCAGCAGCCGCGGUAAUACGUAGGGAGCGAGCGUUGUCCGGAAUUAUUGGGCGUAAAGAGCUCGUAGGCGGUUCAGUAAGUCGGGUGUGAAAACUCAAGGCUCAACCUUGGGACGCCACUCGAUACUGCUGUGACUUGAGUCCGGUAGAGGAGUGUGGAAUUCCUGGUGUAGCGGUGAAAUGCGCAGAUAUCAGGAGGAACACCAGCGGCGAAGGCGGCACUCUGGGCCGGUACUGACGCUGAGGAGCGGAAGCAUGGGGAGCAAACAGGAUUAGAUACCCUGGUAGUCCAUGCCGUAAACGUUGGGCACUAGGUAUGGGAUCAUAUCAACGGAUUCCGUGCCGUAGCUAACGCAUUAAGUGCCCCGCCUGGGGAGUACGG
This 639-nucleotide ribosomal RNA is filed under the name uncultured Actinomycetes bacterium. RNAcentral's name for it is "bacterial SSU rRNA". It matches the Rfam family "Bacterial small subunit ribosomal RNA", at positions 232 to 885 of the family's 1533-position model. Lineage: Bacteria; Bacillati; Actinomycetota; Actinomycetes. The record is from RNAcentral.